AUGAUAUUCACACAUAGCUAAAAAUUUAUUAAGUGUGUUUCUUUGCUUGCAAGGCUUCUGAUCAUAGAUUUCUGUGUGAUAUAAGGGUUUACAUUUUUCCCUCUUCUUUCUGGAAGAAGAAAAGAAAAGGGAAAAAAAACAAAAAAAAAAAAAAAAAAAGGAAGGGGGAUGUUUGGUGGGGAGGGGGUUGAUUAGGAGGGGGGCAGCAAAUUUUGAAGUCCAAAGUCUUGAAUUACCAGCUGUAGUGCAAUAAUGAUGUUAUUUUAAAUUUAGCCCGUCUAUUAUUUUGUACAAAUUGGUUGAACUUUCACAAUUAUUUGGGGGAUUUCUUAUUGAAGAAAUUGAGAAAAAUG
This 353-nucleotide unclassified non-coding RNA is filed under the name Hevea brasiliensis (rubber tree). Lineage: Eukaryota; Viridiplantae; Streptophyta; Magnoliopsida; Malpighiales; Euphorbiaceae. The record is from RNAcentral.